CAUGCAAGUCGAGCGGUAGCACAGAGAGCUUGCUCUCGGGUGACGAGCGGCGGACGGGUGAGUAAUGUCUGGGAAACUGCCUGAUGGAGGGGGAUAACUACUGGAAACGGUAGCUAAUACCGCAUAACGUCGCAAGACCAAAGUGGGGGACCUUCGGGCCUCAUGCCAUCAGAUGUGCCCAGAUGGGAUUAGCUAGUAGGUGGGGUAACGGCUCACCUAGGCGACGAUCCCUAGCUGGUCUGAGAGGAUGACCAGCCACACUGGAACUGAGACACGGUCCAGACUCCUACGGGAGGCAGCAGUGGGGAAUAUUGCACAAUGGGCGCAAGCCUGAUGCAGCCAUGCCGCGUGUGUGAAGAAGGCCUUCGGGUUGUAAAGCACUUUCAGCGGGGAGGAAGGCGGUGAGGUUAAUAACCUUGGCGAUUGACGUUACCCGCAGAAGAAGCACCGGCUAACUCCGUGCCAGCAGCCGCGGUAAUACGGAGGGUGCAAGCGUUAAUCGGAAUUACUGGGCGUAAAGCGCACGCAGGCGGUCUGUCAAGUCGGA
RNAcentral lists this ribosomal RNA (547 nucleotides) under Klebsiella pneumoniae. RNAcentral describes it as "bacterial SSU rRNA". It matches the Rfam family "Bacterial small subunit ribosomal RNA", at positions 54 to 592 of the family's 1533-position model. Lineage: Bacteria; Pseudomonadati; Pseudomonadota; Gammaproteobacteria; Enterobacterales; Enterobacteriaceae. The record is from RNAcentral.